Molecule: ribosomal RNA, 759 nt
Filed under: Triticum aestivum (bread wheat)
Lineage: Eukaryota; Viridiplantae; Streptophyta; Magnoliopsida; Poales; Poaceae
Description: partial small subunit ribosomal RNA
Source: RNAcentral
AUGGACGUCAUGGCCGAUGCCUCCACGGUCGACGACGAGGCGGGCGAAGCGCCGCGGCUCGAGCUCCGAGGCAUCGACGGCUCGGGCCGUGGGUACGCGUCCGACGCGCCGAUGCAGCAGGUGUUCAUGGACGUUAUGUCCGCCAACGGAUGCGCGGGGUUCGCGGGCCUCCUCGCCGCGACGGCGAACGCGGACGAGAUCUUCCAGCAGCGCCUCCUCGCCGAACGCGGCCGCGGGCUCACAGUCUUCUGCCCCGACGACCUCGCGGUGGCGACGUUCAAGCCCAAGUUCGACAGCCUGAGCGCCGACGACCAGCUCGCCGUCCUGCUUCACCACGGCGCGGGGGCGCGCUACCGGAGGGAGCAGUUCCAGGCGUUCGACUGGGUGCGGGUGGGCUCGCUGGCCACCGACGCGGCCACCAACAAGAGCCACGCCAUCGCCGUCCGCGACGACGGGGACACGGUGCUGGUGUGGCCGUCGUGCGGGAGCGGCGCUGGGGUCAGGGUGACCAAGACGGUGUCCGAAGAAGCCCCCCUCGCCGUGUACGUCGUCGACGCCGUGCUGCUGCCGGGCCACCUGCGACAGAAGCUGGACGGCGGCGACGAGCCGGGUGCUGCGUGCAAGCCGUGCGGCGGCUAUCUCGGCUGGCUGCACUGCUGCAUCCCGGCCUGGGUAACGAUACUGGUGGCCGUCGGGAGCAUGGUUGGCACUGUGAUCGGGUUUCUCAUACCCCAGGAUUGCUGCCGCGGGAUUCACUGA